This is a non-coding RNA of Pleomassaria siparia CBS 279.74, 100 nucleotides long. The record is from the annotation of a GenBank genome assembly. NCBI's taxonomy places the organism in Eukaryota, Fungi, Ascomycota, Dothideomycetes, Pleosporales, Pleomassariaceae.
GGUGAGGUGGCCGAGUGGUUAAGGCGCUGUGUUUAGGCUGCUUCUAUAGCUUGAAUCCCCGCAGUGGGUAACCGCGUGGGUUCGAAUCCCACCCUCAUCA